CCCUCACUUUUGAAAAUUAUUAAUAAAGAUUUAUUUAUAAAAUCGGAGGACCUAUAUGUAAAUAUGGAAAUUUCAAGGACUAAACUGUUAAGUUGUAAAAAGAAGAAAAUAAAGAAAACCGAAAACUUCGGUUUUAUCCCACCGCCUCCCACGCUCUCUCUGUUUCUUCGGUGGGGCGUGGAGAGAAGAAGAAGAGAAGUAGAGGGAGAAGAGAAGAAGAGGGAAAAGAAGAGAGG
Molecule: long non-coding RNA, 236 nt
Filed under: Musa acuminata (dwarf banana)
Lineage: Eukaryota; Viridiplantae; Streptophyta; Magnoliopsida; Zingiberales; Musaceae
Description: long non-coding RNA (MACU_LNC010920)
Source: RNAcentral